RNAcentral lists this small RNA (141 nucleotides) under Sinorhizobium meliloti 2011. RNAcentral's name for it is "putative ncRNA". The record is from RNAcentral. Lineage: Bacteria; Pseudomonadati; Pseudomonadota; Alphaproteobacteria; Hyphomicrobiales; Rhizobiaceae.
UCCAGGGGUUCUAUGUUUCAGGAAGAUGUCGAUCGUUGCAGUAAGGGUUCUGUCCACUGUCAACGCCGCUUAUGGGACAACCCUUUCGGCUGAGCAGCUGGCGUCGAAGAUUUCCGAUCCUGCCAGCGCAGUCUCUUUCGA